UAUCAGUUGUAAUAACAGGUGCCAGAGAGAUGGACUUAUUGCUUGCUAAGGGCCAUAUGAAGCUCUUUAUAUGUUUAAGCCACUUCAUCCCCAAAUCUCUGGGGUUGGUAUUGUUUUCCUCAUCAUAUUGAUCAGUAAACAGAGAAUUUAAGUACUUUAUCCAAAAUCACACAGCUAUAAGAGAUAGAACUGAGUUGAAUCUAAGAAGUUACUCCUGGCCAGUCUAAUUACAAAUAUAAGAUCUUGAGAGGAAUCUCUGAGAUCUUCUUGGGAGAUGUGAAAUAAUAAGAUAUAUAUAUAUAUAUAUAUAUAUUAUUGGCACUUGACAAUAUGUAUAUAUUAGUCUCUCCCCUUGGCUCCUGGCACAGAGCUGUUAAAAUCUUUGUAAUUUCCCAAGUGAUAAGAGCACUGAAAACAUCUUUUGUUCUAAUAUUUGCUCUUUGAUCCUAGUUCCUAACACAGAGCUCCUAAAUCCCUGGAAACUUCUUGAGGGAUACGAGUAUCUUUUGUUUUAAUGAGGCAACUCUUGGCGGGUUCCAGGUUCAAACUUCUUCCAUCUCUAACAAAAAAAUCAGUAUUUUCCUACUCACAGCUUCCAGACCAGCCUUUGCCACCCCCUCCACUGGCCUGCGAUUCCCUUCCAGUUCUGAGGCACAAACAAUGAUGUCAAGUCAGUGUUUCCCAAGGGUGUCCAAGGGAACCAUUUCUGUCGGAUAUUAGUAGAUGCUGCCAAUCAUGAGAAUUUAUUAAUAUGUUUAUGUUGUGCGCUUUCAAAUUUGCGUACCUCUUUGCUAAAUUGUCUUUGCACUGUACUCUGGGUGCCGGCACUCACCCCCCACUCCAUCCAAACAGCGAUUUAAUCUGUUAGGAGAUAUGACUGCUGUUUCUUUCUUGCCAUGUGCCUUUCACAGUAGAAAAUAUCACUCUGUCCUAUAAAUGCAAGCCAACUAUUUCAUCUGGCCUCACCCAAAGAAACUGAAAUCUAUGGGAUGUUGGAACGAUGGCUAUCCUGAAUUUACUGAAAGAACUUUACCUCCCGUCUACGAUGUGACUGUACUUGAAAACGCUGGGCAUCACGUAUUGCCAACCUAGCACCCACUACUUCCUUCUCUUCUCCAAACAAAACCCUAUUUUAUUCAGGAAGUCGAUAUUCAGAGAGGUUAAUGAACUGGCCCUGGGUUACACAGCUUCCAAGUCAUGCAGCCAAGGAAACCAGAAGUCCCGCACUGGAGUCACGUAUACAUCCUCAUUACUCCAUGCUCUCCCCUCCCGAGCUGUUAAGUCUGAGCUUCAAAAUGAACUUUGGCAUUGCUUUCUCCUCUGACAAGAAUGGUUAUUUUGCACUCACUCAGAAGUAAAGGCAUCAUCGUUCCCUCUAACCACCAUUGUCUGCCUCAUUAAAAGAUUGAACUACUUGAUGAACAGAUCUGACA
This is a long non-coding RNA of Ailuropoda melanoleuca (giant panda), 1433 nucleotides long. RefSeq lists it as uncharacterized. The record is from RefSeq and is a predicted model, not a curated record. The transcript has 4 exons. NCBI's taxonomy places the organism in Eukaryota, Metazoa, Chordata, Mammalia, Carnivora, Ursidae.